Molecule: ribosomal RNA, 468 nt
Filed under: uncultured bacterium
Lineage: Bacteria
Description: partial 16S ribosomal RNA
Rfam family: Bacterial small subunit ribosomal RNA
Source: RNAcentral
GACGAACGCUGGCGGCGUGCUUAACACAUGCAAGUCGAACGGAAAGGCCCUGCUUUUGUGGGGUGCUCGAGUGGCGAACGGGUGAGUAACACGUGAGUAACCUGCCCUUGACUUUGGGAUAACUUCAGGAAACUGGGGCUAAUACCGGAUAGGAGCUCCUGCUGCAUGGUGGGGGUUGGAAAGUUUCGGCGGUUGGGGAUGGACUCGCGGCUUAUCCGCUUGUUGGUGGGGUAGUGGCUUACCAAGGCUUUGACGGGUAGCCGGCCUGAGAGGGUGACCGGCCACAUUGGGACUGGGAUACGGCCCAGACUCCUACGGGAGGCAGCAGUGGGGAAUAUUGCACAAUGGGCGGAAGCCUGAUGCAGCAACGCCGCGUGCGGGAUGACGGCCUUCGGGUUGUAAACCGCUUUCGCCUGUGACGAAGCGUGAGUGACGGUAAUGGGUAAAGAAGCACCGGCUAACUACGUG